This 72-nucleotide transfer RNA is filed under the name Anaerolineae bacterium. Its description in RNAcentral is "tRNA-Arg". It matches the Rfam family "tRNA". Rfam says of the family: Transfer RNA (tRNA) molecules are approximately 80 nucleotides in length. Their secondary structure includes four short double-helical elements and three loops (D, anti-codon, and T loops). The record is from RNAcentral. Lineage: Bacteria; Bacillati; Chloroflexota; Anaerolineae.
GCCCCCGUAGCUCAGUGGAUAGAGCAGCGGCCUCCGGAGCCGUGUGCGGGAGUUCGAGUCUCCCCGGGGGUA